Molecule: ribosomal RNA, 398 nt
Filed under: uncultured bacterium
Lineage: Bacteria
Description: partial 16S ribosomal RNA
Rfam family: Bacterial small subunit ribosomal RNA
Source: RNAcentral
AUACGUAGGGUGCGAGCGUUGUCCGGAAUUACUGGGCGUAAAGAGCUCGUAGGUGGUUUGUCGCGUCGUCUGUGAAAUUCCGGGGCUUAACUCCGGGCGUGCAGGCGAUCCGGGCAUAACUUGAGUACUGUAGGGGAGACGGGAAUUCCUGGAGUAGCGGUGAACUGCGCAGAUAUCAGGAGGAACACCGGUGGCGAAGGCGGGUCUCUGGGCAGUAACUGACGCUGAGGAGCGAAAGCAUGGGUAGCGAACAGGAUUAGAUACCCUGGUAGUCCAUGCCGUAAACGGUGGGCGCUAGGUGUAGGGGUCUUCCACGACUUCUGUGCCGUAGCUAACGCAUUAAGCGCCCCGCCUGGAGAGUACGGCCGCAAGGCUAAAACUCAAAUGAAUUGACGGGG